GAAACAGAUGAACCAACUUUAUGUUUACACCAGCCUCAAUCUCAAGACAUCUCAUUAUGGAUAUGCAACUAUUCCAAAGCCUGGAACAUUCCACAGCCUAGACCAUUUCUGAUCCCAAGCACGUAGUCGAAGGGAAUGCCAGCCUUUGCUAUAUGCAUUGAAUAAAAGGUUUGGAGAUGAUUAAGACCACAGACAUCCAGUGCCAAACUGGGAGCUGCUACCAGGGGGCCUCUGCUGGCAUUCUCUCUGAGACCCUACUGCCCUGCCUUGAGUUUCACCAAUUCUGUGAGGACAAGGAGAGGAAAGGCCUGCUCAUAGCCACUGGCCUUGAGAGCUGGCCCAUCUUUCUGUGACAUCAUAAUUGGAGCGGCAGCCUGCAGCUCUGAGCUGGCAACCCUCAGGGCCAGUCUUGCUUCCACACUGUCCAGCACCUCUCCCUCCUACCCACCUUGUGAGCUGGUGACUCAGUGCCAUGGUGAGCACUGACUGACAGGCAGCCAGUAUCUGCUUGAGGCCCAGGCUCACCAGGAGAUUAACCCGGCAGGCUGCAGUGAGAAGGGACAGAGACGACUCUGACAGGAGGCCCAGGAUGCAAGGGAAGGCCAAACAAAUCUACCUGCUUAAGGAAGACUCUUCCUCUGACGGCCACCUUGAGACUCUGUCCAGCAGAAAUCUCUGGCAAGUGUUAUCCCAGCCACUCAUGUGGCACUGGGCCGUCUAUGACUUCCUGAUGACAUUAUUCUACAUCAUUUUGUUCACAGUGCUGUUUGACAAUUUUGUGUGACCCUCUCUCGCACUCCGAAUAAACCUUAGCAAAGGAUGGAGUGCUUUCCGUAUGUGUCUGUCCAGACUGGCUUCUCACCGCCCUCUGUGAAGGGCCGGCCAGGCUGCUGUUCACUAAGUUUUGGACUGUAGAUAAGAAAAUAAAAAAAUAAAAAUAAA
Peromyscus maniculatus bairdii (prairie deer mouse) is the source of this 942-nucleotide long non-coding RNA. RefSeq lists it as uncharacterized. NCBI's taxonomy places the organism in Eukaryota, Metazoa, Chordata, Mammalia, Rodentia, Cricetidae. The record is from RefSeq and is a predicted model, not a curated record.